Molecule: ribosomal RNA, 525 nt
Filed under: uncultured bacterium
Lineage: Bacteria
Description: bacterial SSU rRNA
Rfam family: Bacterial small subunit ribosomal RNA
Source: RNAcentral
ACAUCCAGAGAAUUUAGCAGAGAUGCUUUAGUGCCUUCGGGAACUCUGAGACAGGUGCUGCAUGGCUGUCGUCAGCUCGUGUUGUGAAAUGUUGGGUUAAGUCCCGCAACGAGCGCAACCCUUAUCCUUGUUGCCAGCACGUAAUGGUGGGAACUCAAAGGAGACUGCCGGUGAUAAACCGGAGGAAGGUGGGGAUGACGUCAAGUCAUCAUGGCCCUUACGAGUAGGGCUACACACGUGCUACAAUGGCGCAUACAAAGAGAAGCGACCUCGCGAGAGCAAGCGGACCUCAUAAAGUGCGUCGUAGUCCGGAUUGGAGUCUGCAACUCGACUCCAUGAAGUCGGAAUCGCUAGUAAUCGUAAAUCAGAAUGUUACGGUGAAUACGUUCCCGGGCCUUGUACACACCGCCCGUCACACCAUGGGAGUGGGUUGCAAAAGAAGUAGAUAGCUUAACCUUCGGGAGGGCGUUUACCACUUUGUGAUUCAUGACUGGGGUGAAGUCGUAACAAGGUAGGCGUAGUGCU